GAUGAACGCUGGCGGCGUGCCUAAUACAUGCAAGUCGAGCGAACAGACGAGGAGCUUGCUCCUCUGACGUUAGCGGCGGACGGGUGAGUAACACGUGGAUACCCUACCUAUAAGACUGGGAUAACUUCGGGAAACCGGAGCUAAUACCGGAUAAUAUAUUGAACCGCAUGGUUCAAUAGUGAAAGACGGUUUUGCUGUCACUUCUCGAUGGUUCUGGGCUGCAUUAGCUAGUUGGUAAGGUAACGGGUUACCAAGGCAACGAGGCGUAUCCGACGUGAGAGGGUGGUCGGCCACAUGAGAGCGGAGACACCGUCCAGACUCCUACGGUAGGGAGCAGUAGGGAAUCUGCGGCAAUGGGCGAAAGCAUGACAGAACGGCGCCGCGUGAGUGAUGAAGGUCUUCGGAUCGUAAAACUCUGUUAUUAGGGAAAAACAGAUGUGUAAGGAACUGUGCACGGCGUGACGGUACCGAGUCAGAAAGCCACGGCUAACUACGUG
RNAcentral lists this ribosomal RNA (497 nucleotides) under uncultured bacterium. Its description in RNAcentral is "partial 16S ribosomal RNA". It matches the Rfam family "Bacterial small subunit ribosomal RNA", at positions 28 to 507 of the family's 1533-position model. The record is from RNAcentral.